Molecule: non-coding RNA, 76 nt
Filed under: Faecalibacterium prausnitzii
Lineage: Bacteria; Bacillati; Bacillota; Clostridia; Eubacteriales; Oscillospiraceae
Also listed under: 1 other name
Description: c-di-GMP sequence
Rfam family: c-di-GMP-I riboswitch aptamer
About the family: GEMM was predicted in a large-scale screen for bacterial structured RNA regulatory elements.
Source: RNAcentral
UUGAAGAACCGGCAAACCAGCCGAAAGGCUGCGACGCGAAGCUAUAGGGCCUGUAAGAUGGCAGCCAGUUGUAUUU